AGUGAACGCUGGCGGUAGGCCUAACACAUGCAAGUCGAACGGCAGCACAGUAAGAGCUUGCUCUUACGGGUGGCGAGUGGCGGACGGGUGAGGAAUACAUCGGAAUCUACUUUUUCGUGGGGGAUAACGUAGGGAAACUUACGCUAAUACCGCAUACGACCUACGGGUGAAAGCAGGGGAUCUUCGGACCUUGCGCGAUUGAAUGAGCCGAUGUCGGAUUAGCUAGUUGGCGGGGUAAAGGCCCACCAAGGCGACGAUCCGUAGCUGGUCUGAGAGGAUGAUCAGCCACACUGGAACUGAGACACGGUCCAGACUCCUACGGGAGGCAGCAGUGGGGAAUAUUGGCCAUUGGGCGCAACCCUGAUCCAGCCAUCCCGCGUGGGUGAAGAAGGCUUUCGGGUUGUAAAGCCCUUUUGUUGGGAAAGAAAAGCAGCAGGUUAAUACCCCGCUGUUCUGACGGUACCCAAAGAAUAAGCACCGGCUAACUUCGUG
Molecule: ribosomal RNA, 492 nt
Filed under: uncultured bacterium
Lineage: Bacteria
Description: partial 16S ribosomal RNA
Rfam family: Bacterial small subunit ribosomal RNA
Source: RNAcentral